RNAcentral lists this ribosomal RNA (253 nucleotides) under uncultured bacterium. Its description in RNAcentral is "partial 16S ribosomal RNA". It matches the Rfam family "Bacterial small subunit ribosomal RNA", at positions 524 to 776 of the family's 1533-position model. The record is from RNAcentral.
UACGUAGGGUGCAAGCGUUAAUCGGAAUUACUGGGCGUAAAGCGUGCGCAGGCGGUUUUGUAAGUCUGACGUGAAAUCCCCGGGCUCAACCUGGGAAUUGCGUUGGAGACUGCAAGGCUAGAAUCUGGCAGAGGGGGGUAGAAUUCCACGUGUAGCAGUGAAAUGCGUAGAGAUGUGGAGGAACACCGAUGGCGAAGGCAGCCCCCUGGGUCAAGAUUGACGCUCAUGCGCGAAAGCGUGGGGAGCAAACAGG